GAAAAAGGCGCGAACAAUUUCAGUAGCUGGUACNGAAUCAGUNUAANCCUGUGAACAUACCUAUAACGUUGCCUCGGCGGGAACAGACGGCCCCGUAACACGGGCCGCCCCCGCCAGAGGACCCCUAACUCUGUUUCUAUAAUGUUUCUUCUGAGUAAACAAGCAAAUAAAUUAAAACUUUCAACAACGGAUCUCUUGGCUCUGGCAUCGAUGAAGAACGCAGCGAAAUGCGAUAAGUAAUGUGAAUUGCAGAAUUCAGUGAAUCAUCGAAUCUUUGAACGCACAUUGCGCCCGCCAGUAUUCUGGCGGGCAUGCCUGUUCGAGCGUCAUUACAACCCUCAGGCCCCCGGGCCUGGCGUUGGGGAUCGGCGGAAGCCCCCUGCGGGCACAACGCCGUCCCCCAAAUACAGUGGCGGUCCCGCGCAGCUUCCAUUGCGUAGUAGCUUACACCUCGCAACUGGAGAGCGGGCGGCACGCCGUAAAAACAACCCAAUUCUGAAAUGUUGACCUCGAAAUCAGGUAGGAAUACCCGCUGAACUUAAGCAU
RNAcentral lists this ribosomal RNA (546 nucleotides) under Fusarium solani. Its description in RNAcentral is "eukaryotic LSU rRNA". The stretch from base 176 to 329 matches the Rfam family "5.8S ribosomal RNA". Lineage: Eukaryota; Fungi; Ascomycota; Sordariomycetes; Hypocreales; Nectriaceae. The record is from RNAcentral.